CCUCCUUUUCUCCUCCUUUCUGCCUCUUGGUCCAUGGCCGCACGGCUGCACCAGCCAUGCCGCGUGAAGGUCGGUGCCCUAUGGGCGUUAAACUUCUUUUGUGCGGGAGCAAUAAUGGUCACGUGUGGCCAGACGAGAGUAACGUUCGAAUAAGCAUAGGCUCACUCCGUGCCAGCAGCCGCGGUAAUAAGGGAGAUGCAAGCGUUAUCCGGAUUUAUUGGGUGUAAAGGGUGCGUAGGCUGUGAGGUAAGUCAGCGGUGAAAUGCCCACGCUCAACGGGGUGAAGUGCCAUUGAUACUGCCUUGCUGGAAUGCGGAUGCGGUGGGAGGAAUGUGUGGUGUAGCGGUGAAAUGCAUAGAUAUCACACAGAACACCGAUUGCGAAGGCAGCCCCC
Molecule: ribosomal RNA, 394 nt
Filed under: uncultured bacterium
Lineage: Bacteria
Description: partial 16S ribosomal RNA
Rfam family: Bacterial small subunit ribosomal RNA
Source: RNAcentral